This 788-nucleotide ribosomal RNA is filed under the name Clonostachys sp. RNAcentral describes it as "partial large subunit ribosomal RNA". It matches the Rfam family "Eukaryotic large subunit ribosomal RNA", at positions 90 to 913 of the family's 3401-position model. Lineage: Eukaryota; Fungi; Ascomycota; Sordariomycetes; Hypocreales; Bionectriaceae. The record is from RNAcentral.
CGAGUGAAGCGGCAACAGCUCAAAUUUGAAAUCUGGCGCAAGCCCCGAGUUGUAAUUUGUAGAGGAUGUUUCUGGCGACGUGCCUUCCGAGUUCCCUGGAACGGGACGCCAUAGAGGGUGAGAGCCCCGUACGGUUGGAUGCCUAGCCUCUGUGAAACUCCUUCGACGAGUCGAGUAGUUUGGGAAUGCUGCUCUAAAUGGGAGGUAUACGUCUUCUAAAGCUAAAUACCGGCCAGAGACCGAUAGCGCACAAGUAGAGUGAUCGAAAGAUGAAAAGCACUUUGAAAAGAGGGUUAAAAAGUACGUGAAAUUGUUGAAAGGGAAGCGUUCAUGACCAGACUUGGGCAGGUUGAUCAUCCGUGGUUCUCCGCGGUGCACUCUGCCUGCCCAGGCCAGCAUCAGUUCGCCCCGGGGGAUAAAGGCUCUGGGAAUGUGGCUCCUCCGGGAGUGUUAUAGCCCACUGCGUAAUACCCUGGGGUGGACUGAGGUUCGCGCUCUGCAAGGAUGCUGGCGUAAUGGUCAUCAACGACCCGUCUUGAAACACGGACCAAGGAGUCGUCUUCGUAUGCGAGUGUUCGGGUGUCAAACCCCUACGCGUAAUGAAAGUGAACGUAGGAGAGAGCUUCGGCGCAUCUCCGACCGAUCCUGAUGUUCUCGGAUGGAUUUGAGUAAGAGCAUACGGGGCCGGACCCGAAAGAAGGUGAACUAUGCCUGUAUAGGGUGAAGCCAGAGGAAACUCUGGUGGAGGCUCGCAGCGGUUCUGACGUGCAAAUCGAUCGUCAAAUAUG